GACGAACGCUGGCGGCGUGCUUAACACAUGCAAGUCGAACGGAAAGGCCCCUUUGGGGGUACUCGAGUGGCGAACGGGUGAGUAACACGUGAGUAACCUGCCCUUGACUUCGGGAUAACUUCAGGAAACUAGGGCUAAUACCGGAUAGGAAUCCUUGCUGCAUGGUGGGGGUUGGAAAGCUUCGGCGGUUUUGGAUGGACUCGCGGCUUAUCAGCUUGUUGGUGGGGUAGUGGCUUACCAAGGCUUUGACGGGUAGCCGGCCUGAGAGGGCGACCGGCCACAUUGGGACUGGGAUACGGCCCAGACUCCUACGGGAGGCAGCAGUGGGGAAUAUUGCACAAUGGGCGGAAGCCUGAUGCAGCAACGCCGCGUGCGGGAUGACGGCCUUCGGGUUGUAAACCGCUUUCAGCAGGGGCGAAGCUUGUGGUGACGGUACCUGCAGAAGAAGCACCGGCUAACUACGUG
This 465-nucleotide ribosomal RNA is filed under the name uncultured bacterium. RNAcentral's name for it is "partial 16S ribosomal RNA". It matches the Rfam family "Bacterial small subunit ribosomal RNA", at positions 28 to 507 of the family's 1533-position model. The record is from RNAcentral.